GAUGAAAGAAUUCGGAGGAACUCUUGCUGUGAUAUGUUGCCGUAAAAGAUUCAUAUCACAGCAGUAGUUACCUGGUAUUCUUUCGCC
Non-coding RNA from Apis mellifera (honey bee), 87 nucleotides. The record is from Rfam. NCBI's taxonomy places the organism in Eukaryota, Metazoa, Arthropoda, Insecta, Hymenoptera, Apidae.